CUGGGCCAAAGAGCCUUCUUCCAGACAUGGCUCUCGGCCCAAAAUAGACUCAGCAAGGGACCAGAUAUUGGGUUUAUAGCGCUGGCAAAGGUUAAACCCCUUAUCACUAGGGGAGAUUGGACCCCACCUCCCAAGGGGACGAUGUCACAAUAGCUGGGACGGGGAGUUGGCCAAGUCUGUUGGAGGUUCACAGUUUCACACCCUCAGGGCACAGGGAGUGGAUGGAUCCAGAGACACAGCAGAGACACGCCGCAAAUACUCACAUGGACACAUGAGCCGAGAGGAGGAAGGGGGUUGCAAGGGAGAAGGAAAUGAGCAGCAAGUGAAUGACUUAUGCUAUUUUGGGCAAUGAAAUCACAUAAUGAUGGAAAUAUUUCUCCACACCUGUUUUUAUAAUGUUCUUACCGACUAACCAGGAUUCCGUUAAAGAAAAAUUGUUACUCCCGCACUCAUCAUGCUGUCAUGUUAACUUGAAGGAAGGAAGCGUGUUUCCUUCCUGGACAGUAUCUACCGGGCAGCAGCAUACCACCUUGAAGAUCCUCUGAAAGGAGUGUCCCACAUCGGACAUCACUGCUCUUCUGACGAUCAGGUUUCCCAAGUACCUACAGUGCUUCUUCAGAAAAGGGCAUGAGAGUCAAAGGAGCCCGUCAGAACUUCUCAGCCUUGGGGCAUCCAGGUGGCUCAGUCGGUUGGGCGUCUGACUUCGGCUCAGGAUGCCUGGAAUCACAUGCUUCUUGUCUGUCCACUUUCUGAUGCAUUUCUUCAGUUUACCUCAUCCAUACCCUGCCAAGCAAUUUGACUUUCUUGUAAGUCGCCAAGGCCUGGUUUCUCUUGCUGACAACCACAGACUCUUCGAGAGGAUGGAAGGAACCAAGCCUCACAGUCCAGCCCGUGCCUGCUUCCACAGCCCUCCGUCUGGUCACAUCCUCACGUGCUCUGUUUUCAGCAGCGCCGACAAACACAGGACCCAAGGGAGUUUUCACACCUGCUGAUGCUUUGCAAAGGCCCACUGCUUUCCUGGACACCUUCUAGGAGCCCCAGCCCACCGAACUCCUACACAUUCUCAACGCUCAGCCCAAAUAUCAUUACCUCCUGAGAAGAUUUACCCAUCUACACCAUCACACCAGGCUGAUUUUCAAUAACCCAGGGUGAUUUCAGUAAUUCUCAUACCACGUAUGAACUGGAUUUUUCGGCGGCCCACCCUUCACUGGACAGUGGAUUUGUGGAGGAAGGGACCCCACGGGAGGCACACGUCUGGAAAGAAGAAAGGGACCUUAGCAGGUGGGAUAACAUGCUAAGAAGCCCUUCCCACAAAGUAUCCCUUUCUGUCCACUUUUCAUGGUAAAACAGCUGAUUCCGGUUAAAUUACUUUGGCUCCAAUCUCGCUUCAACAGUGGAGAUAUGAAGCCAGUUCCCUCCCUAAGGAGAAGACACUUGUGGAUAUUAGCAAGAUCCAGACCUAGAUGCAGAACUUUCUGGAGGCCAUGCCUUUCCACUUCCUCCUUAUGAGCUCCCCUUGGCCACAGGUCAGGGUGGCUGUGCGGUGAUCUCUGCUUUUGUUUUUGAGGUCUGCUUUUGCAAGUUUAUAAAUUAAACACCGUGUGCAUUCCGUC
Long non-coding RNA from Felis catus (domestic cat), 1613 nucleotides. RefSeq lists it as uncharacterized. NCBI's taxonomy places the organism in Eukaryota, Metazoa, Chordata, Mammalia, Carnivora, Felidae. The record is from RefSeq and is a predicted model, not a curated record. The transcript has 4 exons.